RNAcentral lists this ribosomal RNA (438 nucleotides) under uncultured bacterium. RNAcentral describes it as "bacterial SSU rRNA". It matches the Rfam family "Bacterial small subunit ribosomal RNA", at positions 338 to 773 of the family's 1533-position model. The record is from RNAcentral.
CCUACGGGGGGCUGCAGUGAGGAAUAUUGGUCAAUGGGCGGAAGCCUGAACCAGCCAAGUCGCGUGAAGGAAGAAGGAUCUAUGGUUUGUAAACUUCUUUUGAAGGGGGAUAAAGUGCGUCACGAGUGGUGCAUUGCAGGUACCCUUGGAAUAAGCAUCGGCUAACUCCGUGCCAGCAGCCGCGGUAAUACGGAGGAUGCGAGCGUUAUCCGGAUUUAUUGGGUUUAAAGGGUGCGUAGGUGGCUUUUUAAGUCAGCGGUGAAAACUGGCGGCUCAACCGCAAGAGUGCCGUUGAAACUGGGGAGCUAGAGUAUGAACGAGGUAGGCGGAAUGUGUGGUGUAGCGGUGAAAUGCAUAGAUAUCACGCAGAACUCCGAUAGCGAAGGCAGCUUACCAGGCCAUAACAGACACUGAAGCACGAAAGCGUGGGGAUCGAAC